GGAAUCUGCCUAUUAGUGGGGGACAACAUUCCGAAAGGAAUGCUAAUACCGCAUACGUCCUACGGGAGAAAGCAGGGGACCUUCGGGCCUUGCGCUAAUAGAUGAGCCUAAGUCGGAUUAGCUAGUUGGUGGGGUAAAGGCCUACCAAGGCGACGAUCUGUAGCGGGUCUGAGAGGAUGAUCCGCCACACUGGGACUGAGACACGGCCCAGACUCCUACGGGAGGCAGCAGUGGGGAAUAUUGGACAAUGGGGGGAACCCUGAUCCAGCCAUGCCGCGUGUGUGAAGAAGGCCUUAUGGUUGUAAAGCACUUUAAGCGAGGAGGAGGCUACUAGUAUUAAUACUACUGGAUAGUGGACGUUACUCGCAGAAUAAGCACCGGCUAACUCUGUGCCAGCAGCCGCGGUAAUACAGAGGGUGCGAGCGUUAAUCGGAUUUACUGGGCGUAAAGCGUGCGUAGGCGGCCAUUUAAGUCAAAUGUGAAAUCCCCGAGCUUAACUUGGGAAUUGCAUUCGAUACUGGAUGGCUAGAGUAUGGGAGAGGAUGGUAGAAUUCCAGUGUAGCGGUGAAAUGCGUAGAGAUCUGGAGGAAUACCGAUGGCGAAGCAGCCAUCUGGCCUAUACUGACGCUGAGUACGAAAGCA
Molecule: ribosomal RNA, 642 nt
Filed under: Acinetobacter venetianus
Lineage: Bacteria; Pseudomonadati; Pseudomonadota; Gammaproteobacteria; Moraxellales; Moraxellaceae
Description: bacterial SSU rRNA
Rfam family: Bacterial small subunit ribosomal RNA
Source: RNAcentral